RNAcentral lists this ribosomal RNA (407 nucleotides) under uncultured bacterium. Its description in RNAcentral is "partial 16S ribosomal RNA". It matches the Rfam family "Bacterial small subunit ribosomal RNA", at positions 355 to 755 of the family's 1533-position model. The record is from RNAcentral.
UGGGGAAUUUUGGACAAUGGGCGAAAGCCUGAUCCAGCAAUGCCGCGUGUGUGAAGAAGGCCUUCGGGUUGUAAAGCACUUUUGUCCGGAAAGAAAUCCUUGGCUCUAAUACAGUCGGGGGAUGACGGUACCGGAAGAAUAAGCACCGGCUAACUACGUGCCAGCAGCCGCGGUAAUACGUAGGGUGCAAGCGUUAAUCGGAAUUACUGGGCGUAAAGCGUGCGCAGGCGGUUUGCUAAGACCGAUGUGAAAUCCCCGGGCUCAACCUGGGAACUGCAUUGGUGACUGGCAGGCUAGAGUAUGGCAGAGGGGGUAGAAUUCCACGUGUAGCAGUGAAAUGCGUAGAGAUGUGGAGGAAUACCGAUGGCGAAGGCAGCCCCCUGGCCAAGUACUGACGCUCAUGCACG